RNAcentral lists this ribosomal RNA (751 nucleotides) under Salmonella enterica subsp. enterica serovar Typhi. RNAcentral describes it as "bacterial SSU rRNA". It matches the Rfam family "Bacterial small subunit ribosomal RNA", at positions 538 to 1296 of the family's 1533-position model. The record is from RNAcentral. Lineage: Bacteria; Pseudomonadati; Pseudomonadota; Gammaproteobacteria; Enterobacterales; Enterobacteriaceae.
ACGUUACGGAUUCUGGGCGUAAGCGGCGCUAGGCGGUUGUUAAGUCAGAUGUGAAAUCCCCGGGCUCAACCUGGGAACUGCAUUGAUACUGGCAGCUAGAGUCUGGUAGAGGGGGGUAGAAUUCCAGUGUAGCGGUGAAAUGCGUAGAGAUCUGGAGGAAUACCGAUGGCGAAGGCAGCCCCCUGGACAACACUGACGCUAGGUGCGAAAGCGUGGGGAGCAAACAGGAUUAGAUACCCUGGUAGUCCACGCCGUAAACGAUGUCAUACUGCUGUGGGGCCCUUGAGGCUUGGCUUCCCACACUUAACCCUGAUAAUCACCCCCCUGGGAUCGGCCCCAAGUUAAAACCAAAUGAUUGCGGGCCCACACAACCGGGAGCAUGUGUUUAAUUCGAUGCACCGCGAAACAACCUUACCUGGCUCUUGACGCUUCGAAAACUUUCCAAGAUAUUGGUUGGGUGCCUUCGGAACCUAGAUACAGGUGCUGCAUGGCUGUCGUCAGCUCGUGUCGUGAAGAUGUUGGGUUAAGUCCCGCAACGAGCGCAACCCUUUCUUUUUGCCACCUUAGCGGAACUUAGGACUGCCAUGAUAAAUGGGGAAGGGGGAAACCCAUCCCUGCCUUAAGGCCCCGGCUCCCACCUGCCUGGCCAGGCAAAGUUCCCGGAGAAAUUCCAACCCAAACCCUCCAUCCGUUGAAUCUCCCCUCCACCCCGAAAUCCAAAUCCUCAAACCCAAUCAAGCCGGAACUUCGG